This 329-nucleotide unclassified non-coding RNA is filed under the name soil metagenome. RNAcentral describes it as "partial contains 5.8S ribosomal RNA, internal transcribed spacer 2, and large subunit ribosomal RNA". The stretch from base 1 to 120 matches the Rfam family "5.8S ribosomal RNA", at positions 35 to 154 of the family's 154-position model. The record is from RNAcentral.
GAUGAAGAACGUAGCGAAAUGCGAUAAGUAAUGUGAAUUGCAGAAUUCAGUGAAUCAUCGAAUCUUUGAACGCACAUUGCGCCCCUUGGUAUUCCGAGGGGCAUGCCUGUUCGAGCGUCAUUAUAACCCCUCAAGCUCAGCUUGGUGUUGGGGCCUGCUGCACUGGCAGCCCUUAAAAUCAGUGGCGGCGCCAUCUGGCUCUAAGCGUAGUAAUUCUUCUCGCUAUGGAGUCCUGGUGGAUGCUUGCCAUCAGCCCCCAAUUUUUCUAUGGUUGACCUCGGAUCAGGUAGGGAUACCCGCUGAACUUAAGCAUAUCAAUAAGCGGAGGA